This 395-nucleotide ribosomal RNA is filed under the name uncultured bacterium. Its description in RNAcentral is "bacterial SSU rRNA". It matches the Rfam family "Bacterial small subunit ribosomal RNA", at positions 28 to 429 of the family's 1533-position model. The record is from RNAcentral.
GACGAACGCUGGCGGCGUGCUUAACACAUGCAAGUCGAACGGUAAGGCCCUUCGGGGUACACGAGUGGCGAACGGGUGAGUAACACGUGGUGAUCUGCCCUGCACUUCGGGAUAAGCCUGGGAAACUGGGUCUAAUACCGGAUAGGACCAUGGACUUCACGGUUUGUGGUGGAAAGCUUUUGCGGUGUGGGAUGGGCCCGCGGCCUAUCAGCUUGUUGGUGGGGUAAUGGCCUACCAAGGCGACGACGGGUAGCCGGCCUGAGAGGGUGUCCGGCCACACUGGGACUGAGAUACGGCCCAGACUCCUACGGGAGGCAGCAGUGGGGAAUAUUGCACAAUGGGCGCAAGCCUGAUGCAGCGACGCCGCGUGAGGGAUGACGGCCUCGGGUUGUAAA